RNAcentral lists this non-coding RNA (186 nucleotides) under Virgibacillus sp. Lineage: Bacteria; Bacillati; Bacillota; Bacilli; Caryophanales; Bacillaceae. The record is from RNAcentral. RNAcentral also lists the same sequence under 1 other name.
UUGUAUAUUUAGCCUUAUGGUGACUUUGUUAGAAGUUGAAAAGGGAAGUUGGUGAAAAUCCAACGCGGUCCCGCCACUGUAAUGAGGAGAAUUCUUUUAAUAACCACUAUUUCAAUCAGAAAUGGGAAGGUGAAAAGGAUUUGAUGACUCAGGAGCCAGGAGACCUGCCAUAAGGAAGUACAUAUU